GGGCAUGCCUGUUCGAGCGUCAUAUAAACCCUCAAGCUCUGCUUGGUGUUGGGUGUUGUCCAGUGGACUCGCCCUAAAUUUAAUGGCAGCCGGCAAUCGGUGUAGAGUGCAGCACAUUGUUCUCUUACAGAUGCGCCGUCUUACCAAAAAGAAGCCCAUUUUUUGACCUCGGAUCAGGUAGGGAUACCCGCUGAACUUAA
This 200-nucleotide unclassified non-coding RNA is filed under the name soil metagenome. RNAcentral describes it as "partial contains 5.8S ribosomal RNA, internal transcribed spacer 2, and large subunit ribosomal RNA". The record is from RNAcentral.